Molecule: ribosomal RNA, 1002 nt
Filed under: Russula sp.
Lineage: Eukaryota; Fungi; Basidiomycota; Agaricomycetes; Russulales; Russulaceae
Description: partial 28S large subunit ribosomal RNA
Rfam family: Eukaryotic large subunit ribosomal RNA
Source: RNAcentral
UUUUUGAUUUUUCCCGGUGGAAAUUAAGCAUAUCAAUAAGCGGAGGAAAAGAAACUAACAAGGAUUCCCCUAGUAACUGCGAGUGAAGCGGGAAAAGCUCAAAUUUAAAAUCUGGUGGUCUUUGGCCAUCCGAGUUGUAAUUUAGAGAAGCGUCUUCCGCGCUGGACCAUGCACAAGUCUCCUGGAAUGGAGCGUCAUAGAGGGUGAGAAUCCCGUCUUUGGCAUGGACCCCAGGGCUUCUGUGAUGCGCUCUCGAAGAGUCGAGUUGUUUGGGAAUGCAGCUCAAAAUGGGUGGUGAACUCCAUCUAAAGCUAAAUAUUGGCGAGAGACCGAUAGCGAACAAGUACCGUGAGGGAAAGAUGAAAAGCACUUUGGAAAGAGAGUGAAACAGUACGUGAAAUUGUUGAAAGGGAAACGCUUGAAGUCAGUCGCGUCGACCGAGACUCAGCCUCGCCUUGGCUUGGUGUACUUCUCGGCUUGACGGGUCAGCAUCAAUUUCGAUCCUUGGAUAAUGGCAAGGGAAAGGUGGCACCUUUACAGGUGUGUUAUAGUCCUCUGUCGGAUGCAAGGGUUGGGAUUGAGGAACUCAGCACGCACCCUCGUCGGUGUCGGGGCCUCGGCCUACGUUACGUGCUUAGGAUGCUGGCAUAAUGGCUUUAAACGACCCGUCUUGAAACACGGACCAAGGAGUCUAACAUGCACGCGAGUGUUCGGGUGGAAAACCCGUGCGCGCAAUGAAAGUAAAAGUUGGGACCUCUGUCGUGGAGGGCACCGACGCCCGGACCAGACCUUCUGUGACGGCCCUGCGGUAGAGCGUGUAUGUUGGGACCCGAAAGAUGGUGAACUAUGCCUGAAUAGGGUGAAGCCAGAGGAAACUCUGGUGGAGGCUCGUAGCGAUUCUGACGUGCAAAUCGAUCGUCAAAUUUGGGUAUAGGGGCGAAAGACUAAUCGAACCAUCUAGUAGCUGGUUCCUGCCGAAGUUCCCCUCAGGAAAGUUAAAAA